GAUGAAGAACGCAGCGAAAUGCGAUACUUGGUGUGAAUUGCAGAAUCCCGCGAAUCAUCGAGUUUUUGAACGCAAGUUGCGCCCGAAGCCAUUCGGCCGAGGGCACGUCUGCCUGGGUGUCACGCAUCGUUGCCCCCCCAAACUCCGGUUCGGGCGGGGCGGAAGUUGGCCUCCCGUGCGUGCCUGCGCGCGCGGUUAGCCCAAAAGCGAGUCCUCGGCGACGAGCGCCACGACAAUCGGUGGUUUUUUUACCCUCGUUCCUCGUCGUGCGUGUCCCGUCGCCCGAACGCGCUCUUGCAACCCUCACGCGUCGCCUCGGCGGCGCUCCCAACGCGACCCCAGGUCAGGCGGGACUACCCGCUGAGUUUAAGCAUAUCAAUAAGCGGAGGA
This 390-nucleotide unclassified non-coding RNA is filed under the name soil metagenome. RNAcentral describes it as "partial contains 5.8S ribosomal RNA, internal transcribed spacer 2, and large subunit ribosomal RNA". The stretch from base 1 to 122 matches the Rfam family "5.8S ribosomal RNA", at positions 35 to 154 of the family's 154-position model. The record is from RNAcentral.